RNAcentral lists this ribosomal RNA (465 nucleotides) under uncultured bacterium. RNAcentral's name for it is "partial 16S ribosomal RNA". It matches the Rfam family "Bacterial small subunit ribosomal RNA", at positions 28 to 507 of the family's 1533-position model. The record is from RNAcentral.
GACGAACGCUGGCGGCGUGCUUAACACAUGCAAGUCGAACGGAAAGGCCCUGCUUGCAGGGUACUCGAGUGGCGAACGGGUGAGUAACACGUGGGUGAUCUGCCCUGCACUUCGGGAUAAGCCUGGGAAACUGGGUCUAAUACCGGAUAGGAGCCAUUUUUAGUGUGAUGGUUGGAAAGUUUUUUCGGUGUAGGAUGAGCUCGCGGCCUAUCAGCUUGUUGGUGGGGUAAUGGCCUACCAAGGCGGCGACGGGUAGCCGGCCUGGGAGGGUGGACGGCCACAUUGGGACUGAGAGACGGCCCAGACUCCUACGGGAGGCAGCUGUGGGGAAUAUUGCACCAUGGGCGCCAGCCUGAUGCAGCGACGCCGCGUGGGGGAUGACGGCCUUCGGGUUGUAAACUCCUUUCGCUAGGGACGAAGCUUUUUGUGACGGUACCUAGAUAAGAAGCACCGGCUAACUACGUG